GUAAGUAUUAAGUUAAUAGAUUAAUAGAUCUGAAAUAGAGUGGGGGAACUAUGAUGUCAGAACUAGGAAGUGUAAUUAGCCGCUGGUUCCUUUGAGAUUUUCUUAUGGGAUUUUUCAAUUCAUGAAUAAAAUAAAGCCUGUGGUAAACAUAACUUGACGAUACUUCUAAGUUUUUUUCUACAAUGUAAACUGCACACACCCACAGCCUAAACCAGGGCCCCUCAAUUAGUUUUCACCGAGGGCCGAAUUCUGCCAACGAUACCAAGCCAACGGCCACUGACCUACAUAUACAUAUAUAUAUAAUUAUUACAAUUAUUAUAUUAUUGUUGCUUUUGUUAAAAUAAUCAAAAGAUGGUCACAAGAUAAAUAUUCAGAUUUUCCCCCCUGUAGUCUGUUUUAUUCAAACAAUUAUGAACAUUUUUGCAUUUAGAUACAGAAGAACUUUGCCUGUUGAAUAUUAAAAACAUAUGAACAAACCAAAAAAUCUGGAUCUCCAUGUCUGCCAUGCAAAUCAACUGUUCCUGCUCAUCUCCAGACUGGAUCUCUUCUCUCCACUUUCCCUAAUUGCAGAUUCAAUUAUUAAAUCUGUCAGCAUUAAUAUUUUUAUACUUAGAUUUUUUUGGGGAUCAAACUGUAACACUGUGUGUCCCAAACAGACGUGACGCGAUAAAAAGUAUUUCCAUGUAGUUUUUGUCCUUACCAACCGCAACAGCGACACGUGACAAUAAGCGACACGGAAUUCUAUUUUAGAAAUGCUUUUUAUUUUCUGCGACAUCGCGGCAGGAACAACAUACAAAAAAAUGACAGUGAUAAUCUCAGCUGCAAAUCAUUUGCCCUUACCGUUGAGAUCUGGAUAUGUGACGAAAAGACUUGGAAUCCUCCCCAGCACUCAAAUCUGCUCAGCUGAGUUCGUACUUCUUGAGGCUUGAAAGGAAUAUUCAGUUCCAGAAUAAUAUUUAACUCAUAAAUAAAUUACUCAGAGACUUUUAUUUUAAUAAAAUUUUAACGCAUCACCAUUUGUAAUGGCUUCACUUUAUUAGUAGACAACAACAAAUAAGUAAUAAAAAAUGAAAAUAACAGCAAGUAAGUCUUCACCAUCGGAGUGCGGCCCCGCACAAAGCUCUCCUUGGCCUUUUAUAGCCUUGCAUAAAAUUUGCAUCAACUUCCCUGUCUUCCUUAUUUGGCAGGCUUCUAUAUUCAUACACAGACCGAGUGCAUGACGUUUAUCACACUUAAUACAGAGUGUCAAAAGUACAAAUGGAAGAAUUGCAGGGUCUAUUAGUAAAGCAUGCAACUGCUCAUAAAAAUAUCCAUAACACCUCUAAAGCAUAGUUAUAAUUAUACAUUUUCUCAACCACAAAAGUCACACUUGCAUAUAGAUAUAGUAAAAUUAGCACAGCUACGUAUAGGUUCCAUCUCACAAGUUUAUUGAGAUGCAUCCCCUUCCUCUCCAUCAUCUAAAUAAACAAAGCACAUAGCAACUUAUACCUCAAAGUUUUAUACUUAUAGAAAUGGGAAACAGAAGGUGUGAUCAAAACAUACAUCUGAAACUUCUACCUUGCCUCUGGACAGCAUGUCUGCGUCAAGGUUCAAUCUGCCCGGCACAUGAACCUCCAUUAGCGAGCGGAAUUCUUUCUGUGCCCAAAAGAGGAGGCGACGAGCCAUCCUGCAAAGAGGCUGUGACCUGAGACCACCUUGGUGAUUGAUAUAAGCCACCAUUGUCAUGCUGUCCGACUGGACCAAGACGUGGUACCCUUUCAAAGAUGGAAGGAAGGUUUUCAGGGCUAUGUAAACUGCCAACAUCUCUUGGCAGUUGAUAUGCAGGCAUUGCUCCGGGGCUGACCAGGAGACGAACGCUGGAUUGCCCUCCAACAGGGUGCCCCAAUCCGAGUUGGAUGGGUCCGUCGUGAUUACCUUCCUUCUGGAGGUAAUGCCUAACCUCAUUCCUGUUUGGAACAGGUGAGACGUCAUCCAGGGCGCCACAGCCUUGAUACAGCUGUGGUCUACCCUGAUAGUAAACCGCUCCAGGCGCUAGGCAUGGGGUGGAAUGCGGGCUUUGAGCCAAAACUGAAGGGGCCGCAUGUGAAGCAGGCCCAGAGGAAAUACAGAGGCGGCGGCCGCCAUAAGGCCAAGCAACCUCUGAAAAAGAUUUAGGGGGCUUGUCGCCCCGGUUUGAGAGACGCCACCAAUCACUGAAUAGUUAGGGAUUGUUUCGACGUAAUCCAUGCCCGCAUUUGGAUGGAGUCUAAAAUCUUUCCCAGAAAGACCGCUCGCCAUCUGGGUAACAACUAACUCUUGUGCGUGUUGAUGAUCCACCCAAGGCGCUCCAAGUGGCUGAGUAACAGCUCUCUGUGAGCAGCCAACUCCCGUUCUGACCUGGCUAGAACCAGCCAAUCGUUGAGGUAGUUCAAAACAUGGAUUCCCAUCUGUCUCAGAGGGGAAAGAGCCGUGUCUACAGAUGUGAAAGUAUGCAUCUUUCAGAUCCACAGUCAAAAACCAGUCCUCGGGGCAAAUGUGUGCGAGGAUCUGUUUUAUAGUUAACAUCUUAAACGACUGGCGCAUAAGUGAAUGGUUCAGACGUCUGAGAUCCAGAAUGGAUCUGAGCCCGCCAUCUUUCUUUGGAACAAGGAAGUAGCGGCUGAAAAAGCCUGACUCACUGUUCGCUGGGGGCACUAUUUCUACAGCACCUUUUGCAAGCAACGUCUGCACCUCCUGUUGGAAAAUGAGUGCUUUGUUGUCUGGAACAGAAGUUUGAAUGACGCCUCUGAAUCGAGGUGGCCUGCGAACGAAUUGGAGCGAGUAACCUCGUCAAAUUGUUUUUAAAACCCAACUUGCCACUCCCAGAAUGGCUGCCGUGAAACGGGAGGCAAGAGGGUUUAUUUUUUAGAAUGAGAGCUCACAAGAAUAGAUGGGGAACUCGCAUUCACUUGAGUGUGAGAAAGUGAGUGAAGAGGAAAUUAGCUCUUUAUUGUAUGUGGGUCUGCUAUCACAGCGGUAAAACAUUCGGGUACGCACUGCACCUGCAGGACGUGACCCGCUGGAAAGGAAACUCCAUUGCUCAGAGGUGCUCGGAGGGAUGGAGAAUGAAAGCGAGCAGUUUGUGUGGGGUGUUCCAGCCAAGGUGAGAACAGAGCCCCUCCUCUUCUUCUCUGGUGCAUCAGGACGGCUUAGGCGGCUCGAGGUCCAGCACAACUCAUGGGCGGGGACCUUGACACUUUUGGAAAGUGGAAGUGUUUUGCCAUCCGGGAGCGCUGUUGCAGCCCAGGCUCAGAUUUGUUUUGGGGCUGAGGCUGCUCCGGCAUUGCAGGCUGAUUGGCAGGGUUCUUCUGGUGGCUUCGAAAAACCUCUCUGCAAACCCAUCCACAGCGGGGCCGAACAGACCCUUCGGCGAGACUGGUGAGUUGAGGAAGGCCAUUUUUUCAGCGUCCCUGAUCUCAGUGAGGUUCAACCAUAGGUGGCACUCCAGCAACACCAAACUGGCCAUGGUCUUGCCGAUCACUUGGCCUGAAACACCUGGAGAAUGUCAUUGUAUGCAGCGCCGACCCACAUAAGCUGCAUAAGCCGAGGUGGUCCUGCAGGGCUUAGAGGGAUUUGCUGCAUGGGCCUUCAAUGCGAGGGUAGAUGGCGGGAACAGAUGAGCAGCAACCGCUUAAUCCAGAGGGGGGAGCUUGCUGUAUCCCUUGUUGUCCGUGCCAUCAACGGUGGUGAGAGCUGCUGCUGUAGAGGGAUUUACUCGGGCCGAGUAGGGGGCACGCCACGUCUUGGUGAGCUUGUCAUGAACUGCAGACAAGAACGGGGCGGGGCGUUGGCGAGAGGAUUGUUGGUGGCUUCCCGGCAGGUACCCCUUGUCCAACAGACCGUGGGCGGGCUCUUCCGGAGCCGAGUACUCGAGGCCCAGAUCCUCCACCGCCUUUGACAAGACAGAAGAGUUCAGCGUCCGGCUUCGGCCUCGGAGUUUGAGAGGGGGUAUGGACUUCAGGCUCAUCACCCGAAUCUCCCAACUCUUCUGUAUCAGACGCCACCAAGGACAUGGAGUCGUCGGCGAUAACCUCCUUGCUGAUGACGUCCCCUUCAGAUGCGUCGACUGAAACCAAGCUGCUCUCAACUGAAUUGGGGCGCUGGUCCUCCUAUGUGAAACACACCGGCGAGGCGAGAGGACGAGGGGAAGGCGGGGCAUGUGGGCACUGAGCCAACGUGACACCACUCGAGCCUGCUGAGAAGGACUUGCUGCCCCACUGUUUCUUUCUCUUAGGAGAGAAAGGAAAUGGGAGGGUUGAGAGAGAAAAGGUGAAAGACUCAUACUCUCGCAAAGGGUGCAUGAGCCUUCAGUGAGAGCAGCCUCUGUGUGGGCGCUGCCGAGACAGACAACACACUCACUGUGCCCGUCCGUCUCAUGCAAGAAAUUUGGUCUUUAGGAAUCGCUCUUGCUUGCUCUUAAAGCGCCAGAUGGCCGCAGUGAAUCCUAGCUGCUUCAGGCGUAUUCGAUGGUGGCGAGCAGAGCUGGAGCUUCUUCUUCCUCGGCUUCUUGGCUUCUUCCAGAGACAGCUAAGAGAUGACCCUCAUCGCUAAAGGAGAAUAAUCUGAUGAAUGGUGCUGCGAGACGACUUAUAUACAGGUCAGCUCUGCCCCUUAUGGCGGGCUAAAGCGCUGUUGGUUUGUGCAGCUACACAAACGUGAACAAAUCAAGCUUCAGUACAGUUUAAAACAGAAGUUUUCCCAUUCACACAACGUGAAGUAAACGUUCGAAAGGGAAAUGGAAUUACCUUGGCAUAGUUGAAUAAUAAGAGUUCUGUACAUGGAAAUGACAUACUGUGAGCCUCAAACACCAUUGUUUCCUCCUCCUUAUGUAAAUCUUGUGCAUGCAAGAGACAACUGAAAAAAAGCCGAAUCCCAACAUAACACCAACUGUGAUGUUACAGUCGGGAUCAUUAAUGUUUACGCACCCAACGUUUGCAUAACAUAUACCAGCCCAUGUUCUAGGCCAGCCGGACCUGCACAGCCGAAUCAUUGGUGCAGUUUUGCCAUUUAUUGCUAUUAAAACAAACAAAAACGAUAAAUAAAUAAAAAUAAAAUGAAAUUAUUUAAAAUCUUUUGCAAUUAAGGUAAGAUAAAGAUAUUGUUGACCUUUAACUGCAAUGACUUUCUUUAUUAACUUUCUAAAGUGUCAAAAAAUGGAAAAGACAAGUCCAGAAAUGCUUAUAACAGAUGGAUCUGGCAACACAGAGGCUGUGUCCGCGCCGAGCGGCAACCUCUCUCUCAUGAGGACAACAAGGAAGUGACUAAAACUUAAAUUCAUCGACUGGCCGCCUGAUUAAGACAUAAUUCACCCCAAAAAGAUGUGAUGUGGUUGAGGAUUUGAGAUUUGGAUUUCCUCAAAAAAAAAAUGAAGCACUUUAUCCAGCAGAGAUCAUAAACAUGAGUAAGUCUCUUAUUUAUUUAUAUACUUGUACUAGUUUUCACAUAACGUGUAAACAUUUUACUAGUUAGACUUUUUCCAAAGACUUUUUCCAAACUAUAAUUCCUGACUAAAUGUAUAAUCAAGUGAAAUAUUAUGAAGUUUCAAUAACAAUAUACACUACUAUACCAUUCAAAAGCUUGAUGUAAAUAAUAUAAAUGUACCAAUAAAUGUAACUGUAACAAAUGUAAUAAACAAUGCUGUUCUUUCAAUUUACCCCCCCUAAAAAACCUGAAAAAAAUAUUCUCAGCUCUUUUCAACAUUAAUAAUAAUAAUAAUAAUAAUGAUAAUAAUAACAAUAAAUGUUUUUUUUUGUAGAAAAUAAGAUUGUUAAAAGGAUUUCUGAAGGAUUGUGUGACUGGAGUAAUGAUGCAGAAAAUUCAGUUUGAAAGUCAGCUUUGAAUGUUCCUAAUAAACUGUUUAACUGUACUCACAAGUGAAUAUUAAAUUAUGUUGUGGGAUAAUUAAAUAUAUUCUAAAUAAACUACAAACAUAAAAUUAUAUACAUUUAUUUUGUCCUCACAUUCUUUCUUGUACCUCAUCCCUCUCAGUGACACAGCUGACUGAAUGGCUCAUUAUGCAGCUCAUUAUGCAGGCCUUUGUCUUCUCAGGUGUGAAUUCAUGAUAGUUGACGCCUACUCGCAUAUGACUUUUACCAACAA
Molecule: long non-coding RNA, 6117 nt
Organism: Cyprinus carpio carpio
Lineage: Eukaryota; Metazoa; Chordata; Actinopteri; Cypriniformes; Cyprinidae
Source: Ensembl